This 431-nucleotide ribosomal RNA is filed under the name uncultured bacterium. RNAcentral's name for it is "partial 16S ribosomal RNA". It matches the Rfam family "Bacterial small subunit ribosomal RNA", at positions 338 to 795 of the family's 1533-position model. The record is from RNAcentral.
CCUACGGGGGGCAGCAGUAGGGAAUAUUGCACAAUGGAGGAAACUCUGAUGCAGCGACGCCGCGUGAGUGAUGAAGGCCUUCGGGUCGUAAAGCUCUGUCGCAGGGGAUCAGGUACCCUGCAAGAAAGGAUCGGCUAACUUCGUGCCAGCAGCCGCGGUAAGACGAGGGAUCCUAGCGUUGUUCGGAAUUAUUGGGCGUAAAGCGGGUGUAGGUGGCUAUGUAAGUCGAGUGUGAAAGCCUGGGGCUCAACCCCAGAAGUGCAUUCGAUACUGCGUAGCUUGAGUGGUAGAGAGGAUAGUAGAAUUGUUGGUGUAGUGGUGAAAUACGUAGAUAUCAACAGGAAUACCGGUGGCGAAGGCGGCUAUCUGGUAACACUGACACUCAGACCCGAAAGUGCGGGGAUCAAACAGGAUUAGAUACCCCAGUAGUC